UCGUUUCCGGUUCAGCCCAGGAGGCUUCCGAGUGUUUCUGCCUUCCGCUUCUCUGGGCCGCCGACCAUUUCUCUAACGUUUUUCCAGGUCUUUCGGUUGGUGGGGAAGGUAGUUGCCAAUAAAGUUUCCCCGUUUGAAAGUUUGGCGGAUUGGGCCGGGCGAAUCCUCUGUCCCCUUGUUCAUUGUCCUCAGUCUUUCUAGGCUACAGGCAAGGAGUCUCAAGGCGUCAUGGCCAGGGGCCGGUCCGGCCCGGCCGGUCUGAGGCCAACUUACGUUGCCCGCGCUCUUUUAUGGCUUUUGGCCCCGCAGGCGUCCGCCUCAGCGUGAGCGCAGUCCCUCCGCGCCCACGGGCCGCCUUGUGCUGGACCCCAUGGCCUCCGAGGCUCCGUCGCCUUCGUUGUCGCCGUCGUCACCUCCCUCCCCUGAGCCUGAACUGGCCCAGCUGAGGCGGAAAGUAGAGAAGUUGGAACGCGAGCUGCGGAGCUGCAAGCGGCAGGUGCGGGAGAUCGAGAAGCUGCUUCAUCACACGGAGCGGCUGUACCAGAGCGCAGAGAGCAACAACCAGGAGCUCCGCACCCAGGUAGAAGAGCUCAGUAAAAUACUCCAUUGUGGGAGAAAUGAAGACAAUAAGAAGUCUGAUGUAGAAGUACAAACAGAGAACCAUCCUGCUUGGUCAAUCUCAGAUUAUUAUUAUCAGACAUACUAUAAGGAUGUCAGUCUUCCAAAUAAAGUGACUGAACUCUCAGUUCAGCAAGAUCAGGAUAUCGAAGCUUCCACUUUUAAUUCUGAAGAUCAGUCACAAAUAGAAAAUGAUGCUUACGCUGGUGCUGAUAUAACAGAACAUGUUAAAUGUGCAGAAGAGGACCAUUUUGCCUCAAAUUCAAAUUCACAGGAGCCAGCAUCUGUAUUAGCAGCAGAAGAUACAUCCUUAGAAGGUUCUUCAUUAGCUGAAAGUUUGAGAGCUGCAGCAGAAGCUGCUGUGUCUCAGACUGGAUUUAGUUAUGAUGAGAACACUGGACUAUAUUUUGAUCAUAGCACUGGUUUCUAUUAUGAUUCUGAAAAUCAACUAUAUUACGAUCCUUCCACUGGAAUUUAUUACUACUGUGAUGUGGAAAGUGGUCGAUAUCAAUUUCAUUCUCGAGUUGAUUUGCAACCUUAUCAGACAUGUGGCACAAAACAAAAUAAGGAAAAAAAAAUGAAGAAGAAAAGAAAGGAUCCAGAUUCUUCUGUAACAAAUGAGGAAAAGGAUUUGAAUUCAGAAGAUCAGAAAGCAUCCAAUGUUGAACGUGUAAGCUGCAGUGAGGGAGAAGAUUUUGCAAAUGUGAAAAAGAAGGCCAGAAUAGACAUUCAUUACAAAAGUAGUCCUGCCAAAUUUACUGUUCCAGUUAGCGGAAAGACUACAGACUCUUCUGUUAGUGAAAACAUUUAUAAUUCGACGUCAUUUAAAGAUGAGAAAAUCAUGGAGACUGAUAGUGAGCCAGAAGAAGGUGAAAUUACAGACUCUCAGACAGAGGACAGUUACGAUGAAGACAUUACUAGUGAAGACAAUGUAACUGCAGAAGAUACUGAGGAUGAAGAUGAAGAAAAAAUUUGGCCCCCAUGUAUUAGAGUAAUUGUUAUUAGAUCACCAGUAUUGCAGACAGGAUCACUUUUUAUCAUUACAGCUGUAAACCCUGCUACAAUUGGAAGAGAAAAAGAUAUGGAGCAUACUCUCCGAAUCCCUGAAGUUGGUGUUAGUAAGUUUCAUGCAGAAAUUUAUUUUGACCAUGACUUACAAAGUUACGUUCUUGUGGAUCAAGGUAGUCAAAAUGGUACAAUUGUUAAUGGAAAACAGAUUCUUCAGCCUAAAACUAAAUGUGACCCUUACGUCCUUGAGCAUGGUGAUGAAGUGAAAAUUGGAGAGACUGUACUGUCUUUUCAUAUCCACCCUGGCAGUGAUACCUGUGAUGGCUGUGAACCAGGACAGGUUAGAGCUCACCUUCGUCUUGAUAAGAAAGAUGAAUCUUUUGUUGGUCCAACACUAAGUAAGGAGGAAAAAGAGUUGGAAAGGAGAAAAGAAUUAAAGAAAAUACGAGUAAAAUAUGGUUUGCAGAAUACAGACUAUGAAGAUGAAAAGGCAUUGAAGAAUCCAAAAUACAAAGAUAGAGCUGGAAAACGGAGGGAGCAGAUUGGAAGUGAAGGGACUUUCCAAAGAGAUGAUGCUCCUGCAUCUGUUCAUUCUGAAAUUACUGAUAGCAACAAAGGUCGGAAGAUGUUGGAGAAGAUGGGUUGGAAAAAAGGAGAGGGCCUAGGGAAGGAUGGUGGAGGAAUGAAAAUUCCGAUCCAGCUUCAACUUCGGCGAACACAUGCAGGCUUGGGGACCGGCAAACCAUCUUCCAUUGAAGAUGUUCACAUUCUCCAAAACAAGAGCAAAAAGAAUUGGGAGAAAGCACGAGAGAGGUUUGCUGAAAACUUCCCAGAAACUAAAUCUCAAAAAGAUGUGCCAGGAACCGUCCCUUGGGUCAAAGGGACCAUAGAAUAAAGGUUGUGUUCUACAAUUAGAAACACCCGGAUUUAAAACUUGGUUUUCAGAUGGUUUGACAGAACCCAUGGCAUUGUCUUAAAGGAGCUGAGGCAGGUCACUUCGCCUUGGUGAAGUGUGUGGCCUCAUUUGUAAAAUCUGGACAAUUACGUCAUGAGGACAAAAGAGUAGGUACAAGAGACCAUACUCAUGACUGUUGCACACAUCUUCAGUUCUAGGGAGUGAAUGAUAGAGUGAGUACCUCAAAACUGUGAAAGAAGUUUGAUAUACUCCUGUUUCUGUUUUUUUUUUUUUUUUUUUUUUUUUUGAGAAUAAGCAUGUUACUGUCAACAUUUCUUCUAAAGUGAACAAAAAAUCCAGUUAACUCAAUGACUCAAAGGUCAGUUGAUGUUAAACUAUCAUGUAAUCAUGUAAUCAUACCAUGUUGGAGCCAAAGAGGACAUUAAUGAUCACCUCAUCCAUUUUGCAGACAAGCAGAUUUAGAUUGUGGAAAGUUAAGAAGUUCAAACAUUUAAAAGUAGAAUUCCCUAUUGAGUGGCAGCAAAACAAAAGCCCAGUCUUAAUGAAUGCCUAAGAUGUCAAAAAUAUGGACAGCUUUUUAAAAUAGAAAGCCCAAACCAGCUCUUCCGUCCCCCAGCUCCAGGGAUGACAACUUGGGUAUAUAAAGGGCUCUAGCUGUUUCAACUUUGGCUGUCAGUACCCUGCUUUGCUUCCCCCUCGUCUCUGCCAAAUUUUAACUUAAAGAAGUGACUGAUCACUUUACAUCAUGGGAGGAGUUCAGAAGUUGGGUUCAGGGCAUUCUGCAUCCCCGCUGCAGCCAUCUACCUCGCCACUGAGUGCUUGCUCUCAAAGGCAGCAUGUGGGUGGCUCUAUUAGCAAACCCAGUCAUGGAAGUCAGGGAAGCCCAGCUGAUCUAGGCGAGUUGUGUCACUGUCACCCAUCAGCAAUGACAGCUGUGAGUCAACUGGGUCACAGGCAGACCAGUGCAGUCCCCAUAACCCAUCUCUACAUUCUCUGGAGGCCAGCUUGACUUAUUGGUCCUGACAGCACUUGGGCUUUGACAGAUGAGCCAGCAGAAGUCCUUAAGGCUAAAGAGACACAGUAUCUGUUGGGGUUGGAGUCAUUGAACCACCAUAGCCAUUAUCUCCUGAUGGUGGGCAAGUCACUCAGGGGCUCAUUUUUCUCUUCUGUCAAAUGAUAGUGUUAGACUGGACAAGGGCUGCAUUUCUCUCUAGGCUUUUCUAAAAGUGGGGAUUACACUAGUCUUUGUUGGGUUUUGUGUAUUUUACCUAAGAGAGUGGAAUUGUCAGGAGUUCUAAUUUGAGACAUGUAAAUAAUUUUAUUUUUUAUUAUAAAAGUAAUUCAUGCUUGGUGUAAAAAAAAAAUACAAUAAUGCAGAACUAUAUAAAGCAGAAAGUAAAAUCUCUUUGCUUAACUCCCACCGCUAGCACUGAGUUAUAGUGAGGCUAUUUCCCCCUGUCUCACAAACAGAAGCUAUUGGUGCUCCCAUUAGUCAUCUUUCUUGAGCGAGCAGUUGGAGAUUCUAAAAGUCAAUCUUUGCUGAUAUUAAUGGUUCUAACAGUUGGUGAAAUAGAAGAGUAAUGUUUGUAGAUGAUUUCUUUCUUCUAAAGUGUUCAAAUUCCUCAUAUAGCCAAAGUUAUACAUCCACGUGAAUAAGUUACAUUUCAGUACUUAAUAGAAAUAACAUACUAUUUUUAGAAAAUGUAAAGACUGUGAAAGACGAAAGAAUAAAAUACCUUAAAAUGUUUAUACAGUUUUCCUAAGGUGACAGGAUUUGGGGGGUUGUUGUUCUGAUUUCUUCCUAGAUUGGGGCAUUGCCUUUGUGUUACUUGGGUAUUGAAAAACGUUUUAAGAAAAACAUUCCUUAUAAUGACAUACUAAUAGUGAAAUACUAAUUUGGAUUCAAACCGAACAGUGCAAUAAUGGACACUUGACUAAAAAACUUAAAAAAAAUUAUGACUGCUAUUUCCUUCUAGGCUAUUUUUUUCUGCUGUGACUUCUACUCAGAAUUAAAGAUAAAUGAAUAAUUAUAUUAAUAACUGGGAAAACUGACUUGUAAAACUCAACACAUUGAGUUCAAUGCCUCAGAUAUUUAUUGAGCAGCUAUUACAUGCAAAGCACUGUAGGAAUAGACCCAAGGGUUCGGGUCUGGCAGGAGGAAAGACAAGAACCCAUAGAAUUAUAUGCCAGAUGGCAGUUCUAAGUGUUAAGAGUUUAUAAAAUGCUAAGGAGUCCAGAGAAGUAAAGAAUCAUCUCUAAAUUAGGAAUAAUCAAGGAAAGAUUCAUGCAGGCAGUUGAAUUUGAGCUUGGUCUUUGAAAAUGGGUGGAAUUCUUCAUACUCAGAGACUGAAAAGGCCUUUUAAGUGGAGCGAGGGCAAACAGGCAUACAGGUGCCAAGAUGAGGGCAUGUCAAAAAGAACAAAGAGCCCGGUUGGGCUGGAGCAUAUGUAUAGGUAGGGGAGGGGACAGAUAAGACUGGCAGCAGGGUUGGGGUUCUUGAAUGUCAGGCUACAAAGUCUAAGCUUAUUAAUGAUCGGUGAUCUUGGG
This is an RNA transcript of Lutra lutra (Eurasian river otter), 5089 nucleotides long. It is a transcript of the gene named angiogenic factor with G-patch and FHA domains 1, with no coding region annotated. The transcript has 16 exons. The record is from RefSeq and is a predicted model, not a curated record. NCBI's taxonomy places the organism in Eukaryota, Metazoa, Chordata, Mammalia, Carnivora, Mustelidae.